GCAAGACAUGGUUCUUGCCCACCGUCACGUUGGACCUGGAGAUGUGAAGGAGGCUGGGGAGAGGGCGAUCAGGGUACAGCCACUGUCCAAGCCUGGCCGCCACCUGCACACAACAUGAGGGCCCUCCGGUCUCCCCCCAACAGGCAUUUGGAACCCAAAGGAGGGCUGGCCGCCAGCUCCUUACGUUCACUUUGCUUCUCUUUGUUUUGCCUUGCUCUGCUUUGCUUUGCUCUUGCUGGCACAGUUUUGCUUUCCCAUACCUCCUUUUCUCUGCUGUUCUUGCCCCUGCUUUGCCUCAGAGUGUUUUGCUCUUUCUCUCCUUGAAAUACUUUGCAUUUCCUUGUGCUACUUUCCUUUGCUCUGCUUUGACUUGCUCUGCUUUGCCUUCGCUGGCCAUGCUUUCGUUUGCUUUAUCAGGCCAUGCUUUCCUUGGUUUAGCUUUGGGUUAUAGACCUGGCAUUGCAUUGCUUUUCCUACCCGUGCUGUGCUUUGCCUUGCCUCAAACUGCUUUGCUUUGCUUUGUUUGCUUUGUCUUCCCUGGUUAUGCUUUGCUUUUCCUGGUGCUACUUUCCUUAGCUCUGCUUUGCCUUCCCUGGCCGUGCUUUUGUUUGCUUUAUGGGGCCAUGUUUUCCUUUUUUACCUUUGCCUUGCUCUCUUUUGCCUCACCUGCUCCUGCUCUCACUUCCAUUUUCAGGCCAUGCUUUCCUUUUUUUACCUUUGCCUUGCUCUCUUUUGCCUCACCUGCUCCUGCUCUCCUUUCCGUUUUCAGGCCAUGCUUACCUUUGUUUUGCUUUACUUUGUAUUCCUGGCACUGCUUUGCUGUUCCUUUUGCUACUUUCUUUUGUUCUGCUUUGCCUUGCCUGGCCAUGCUUUCCUUUGCCUUGCUUUGUUUUCCUGGCAUUGCUUUGCUUUUCCGUACCUCCUUUCCUCUGCUGUUCUUGCCCCUGCUUUGCUUUGCUUUGCCUCAGACUUCUUUGUUUUUCUUUCCUGGAAGUGAUUUGCUUUUUCUUUUUCUACAUUCCCUUGCUCUGCUUUGACUUGCUCAGCUUUGCUUUCCCUGGCCAUGCUUUCUUUUGCUUUGUCAGGUCAUGCUUUCCUUGGUUUAGCUUUAGUUUAUAGACCUGGCACAGGUCUAUAAACUGGCCUUGCUCUCACCCUCAGCUACAUUUAUAUCCAUUCACCACAAAUCUUUGGACCCAGCCACACAGCCAGUUUUUAACCCAUUGAAACAUAAUUCUUUCCAGGCCGUAAGCAGCCAGAUCCUCUGGAAGAAUGCUGUGGCAAAUCGUUUCAAAAGCCUUAUUGCAGUUUAGGCAGACCACAUCCACAGCCUUUCCCUUGU
Molecule: long non-coding RNA, 1342 nt
Filed under: Anas platyrhynchos platyrhynchos (common mallard)
Lineage: Eukaryota; Metazoa; Chordata; Aves; Anseriformes; Anatidae
Description: lncRNA (ENSAPLG00000028148.1)
Source: RNAcentral